This 1159-nucleotide ribosomal RNA is filed under the name Salmonella enterica. RNAcentral's name for it is "partial 23S ribosomal RNA". It matches the Rfam family "Bacterial large subunit ribosomal RNA", at positions 1783 to 2925 of the family's 2925-position model. RNAcentral also lists the same sequence under 1 other name. The record is from RNAcentral. Lineage: Bacteria; Pseudomonadati; Pseudomonadota; Gammaproteobacteria; Enterobacterales; Enterobacteriaceae.
UACCAGCUGGCUGCAACUGUUUAUUAAAAACACAGCACUGUGCAAACACGAAAGUGGACGUAUACGGUGUGACGCCUGCCCGGUGCCGGAAGGUUAAUUGAUGGGGUCAGCGCAAGCGAAGCUCCUGAUCGAAGCCCCGGUAAACGGCGGCCGUAACUAUAACGGUCCUAAGGUAGCGAAAUUCCUUGUCGGGUAAGUUCCGACCUGCACGAAUGGCGUAAUGAUGGCCAGGCUGUCUCCACCCGAGACUCAGUGAAAUUGAACUCGCUGUGAAGAUGCAGUGUACCCGCGGCAAGACGGAAAGACCCCGUGAACCUUUACUAUAGCUUGACACUGAACAUUGAGCCUUGAUGUGUAGGAUAGGUGGGAGGCUUUGAAGCGUGGACGCCAGUCUGCGUGGAGCCGACCUUGAAAUACCACCCUUUAAUGUUUGAUGUUCUAACGUGGACCCGUAAUCCGGGUUGCGGACAGUGUCUGGUGGGUAGUUUGACUGGGGCGGUCUCCUCCUAAAGAGUAACGGAGGAGCACGAAGGUUGGCUAAUCCUGGUCGGACAUCAGGAGGUUAGUGCAAUGGCAUAAGCCAGCUUGACUGCGAGCGUGACGGCGCGAGCAGGUGCGAAAGCAGGUCAUAGUGAUCCGGUGGUUCUGAAUGGAAGGGCCAUCGCUCAACGGAUAAAAGGUACUCCGGGGAUAACAGGCUGAUACCGCCCAAGAGUUCAUAUCGACGGCGGUGUUUGGCACCUCGAUGUCGGCUCAUCACAUCCUGGGGCUGAAGUAGGUCCCAAGGGUAUGGCUGUUCGCCAUUUAAAGUGGUACGCGAGCUGGGUUUAGAACGUCGUGAGACAGUUCGGUCCCUAUCUGCCGUGGGCGCUGGAGAACUGAGGGGGGCUGCUCCUAGUACGAGAGGACCGGAGUGGACGCAUCACUGGUGUUCGGGUUGUCAUGCCAAUGGCACUGCCCGGUAGCUAAAUGCGGAAGAGAUAAGUGCUGAAAGCAUCUAAGCACGAAACUUGCCCCGAGAUGAGUUCUCCCUGAGACUUUAGGUCUCCUGAAGGAACGUUGAAGACGACGACGUUGAUAGGCCGGGUGUGUAAGCGCAGCGAUGCGUUGAGCUAACCGGUACUAAUGAACCGUGAGGCUUAACCUUACAACGCCGAAG